Molecule: ribosomal RNA, 337 nt
Filed under: uncultured bacterium
Lineage: Bacteria
Description: bacterial SSU rRNA
Rfam family: Bacterial small subunit ribosomal RNA
Source: RNAcentral
ACUCCUACGGGAGGCAGCAGUAAGGAAUAUUGCGCAAUGGGCGAAAGCCUGACGCAGCGACGCCGCGUGGGGGAUGAAGGUCUUCGGAUUGUAAACCCCUUUCGGGAGGGAAGAUGGGAUGGGGUAACCCAUUCGGACGGUACCUCCAGAAGCAGCCACGGCUAACUUCGUGCCAGCAGCCGCGGUAAUACGAAGGUGGCAAGCGUUGUUCGGAUUUACUGGGCGUACAGGGAGCGUAGGCGGUUGGGUAAGCCCUCCGUGAAAUCUCCGGGCCUAACCCGGAAAGUGCGGAGGGGACUGCUCGGCUAGAGAAUGGGAGAGGAGCGCGGAAUUCCCG